UACGUAGGGUGCAAGCGUUGUUCGGAAUUACUGGGCGUAAAGGGCGCGUAGGCGGGUUGGCAAGUCGGUCGUGAAAGCCUUCGGCUCAACCGAAGAACGUCGGCCGAUACUGCCGUUCUUGAGGGAUGCAGAGGAGACUGGAAUUCCCGGUGUAGCGGUGAAAUGUGUAGAGAUGUGGAGGAACACCGAUGGCGAAGGCAGCCCCCUGGGUCAAGAUUGACGCUCAUGCACGAAAGCGUGGGGAGCAAACAGG
RNAcentral lists this ribosomal RNA (253 nucleotides) under uncultured bacterium. RNAcentral describes it as "partial 16S ribosomal RNA". It matches the Rfam family "Bacterial small subunit ribosomal RNA", at positions 524 to 776 of the family's 1533-position model. The record is from RNAcentral.